Molecule: long non-coding RNA, 1725 nt
Organism: Clupea harengus (Atlantic herring)
Lineage: Eukaryota; Metazoa; Chordata; Actinopteri; Clupeiformes; Clupeidae
Source: RefSeq, a predicted model, not a curated record
UUGGCAGACUGCCCUUUUCUUGUGAUUAUACUUCAUUGAUACAUUUGGUUAAAUGUGAUAUGAUUAGAUAAAUUUGAUAAUUCAAAUUUAUCUUACACCAUCAUGAUGAAAUUAUGUAGUUAAUUAGGGGUACCAUCAUGAUGAAAUUAUGUAGUUAAUCAGGGGUACCAUCAUGAUGAAAUUAUGAUGUAACCAAACCACACAGUACAGGAGUUCAUGAGAAUUGAGAUGCCCUGCUGGUGUGAUCCUGCCUCCUGCCUGUAGUUCACUAAGCUGGGAACAACAGAGUGGAGAUACAGAGACAAUCCUUAUUUCCCCCAUAUGUGCUCCUGAGUUCUGGCAGCAGAUACACACUCAGGUUACACAGAGCGGAAGUGGUAGUGAAUGCACCAUUCCUACUCUACUGAAACUAGCAGCAGACACACACUCAGGUUACACAGAGCGGAAGUGGUAGUGAACGCACCAUUCCUACUCUACUGAAAUGAGCAGCAGAGACACACUCAGGUUCCACAGAGCUGUGUGGUAGUGAACGCACCACUGCUACUCUGCUGAACAGUAGUGCUGGUGGCCACGCCUCCUCAUUUGGACUAGACCUCUAACGGCUGUGUGGUGUAACACCCUCAGGGUUACGUGUCUGCUGAAGAGUAGUGCUGUGUGGUGUAACACCCUCAGGAUUGCGUGUCUGCUGAAGGGUAUUGCUGUGUGGUGUAACACCCUCAGGGUUACGUGUCUGCUGAAAGGUAUUGCUGUGUGGUGUAACACCCUCAGGGUUACGUGUCUGCUGAAGAGUAGUGCUGUGUGGUGUAAACACCCUGAGUGUUACGUGUCUGCUAAUGAGUAAAGAUCUGGGAGUUUGAGGACUGAAGGCACGGACACAACCAGGCUUUGUUGCUUUGGGAACUUUUUUAUUUCUUUAUUUGCAUUAUAUAUUUAGACUGAUAUCAUUCAGAGAUGACUCAAUGCUAAAAUGUCAUUUAUAAAUGGAUUGCUAUUUUGUUCGUUAUAUACAUAUUGGUAUAUUGUCUGAUUGGUAUAUUGGUACUUCAUUGAUUAUUGAUUGAGGUUUCUAAUGUUUAAUGUGCAAUAAUACAUUUGUAUUGUAUACUGUAUUUUCCUGAGUUACUGCAGCUUUCAAACAGGACUUUGUUGUUUGUAUUUGUUAUUGUCUGUAUUUGUUGUUUAUGUAUUUAAAUAGUUGUUUCUGGUCUCUCUCUGCCAGCACACACACACACACACACACACACACACACACACACACACAUCUUUCUCUAACCAUGUAUAGUGUUGGUCCUGGGUGUUGUGUUGCUCUAGGCAAACACACAUUGCGUACAUGAGAAAGAGCACCUUCAUCUUUUCAUAGUUUAGUUUAAGUUCAAGGCCCUUGGCAGACACUUUUGUCCAAAGUGACUUACAUCAGGGCAAACUGGUACAUACAGGAAGGACAGAACAUGAUGUUAGCCAUAAGUAAGACAUUAAGAUGAUUCUGAUAGUGUGUGUGUGUUUGGAUGUGAUCUGUCAUGUGACUUGAGCUGGCUACAUUAAUUAUGUGACUACUUACCUGUCCAUACUAGUCAUGUGACUACUUGUUAACAUCUAAGAAACAGCCCAAAGGCAGCCAUUUUGACUUGCCCUUAUGAAGGUUCUUAUGACUGAAACACAUAAGCAUGUUUUUUUAUUGUUACUUUGACUAAACAGCCAAGAGAUAUUAAAGGCGUUCUGAACGUA